This 345-nucleotide unclassified non-coding RNA is filed under the name soil metagenome. RNAcentral describes it as "partial contains 5.8S ribosomal RNA, internal transcribed spacer 2, and large subunit ribosomal RNA". The stretch from base 1 to 119 matches the Rfam family "5.8S ribosomal RNA", at positions 35 to 154 of the family's 154-position model. The record is from RNAcentral.
GAUGAAGAACGCAGCGAAAUGCGAUACGUAAUGUGAAUUGCAAAUUCAGUGAAUCAUCGAGUCUUUGAACGCACAUUGCGCCCCCUGGUAUUCCGGGGGGCAUGCCUGUCCGAGCGUCAUUGCUGCCCUCAAGCACGGCUUGUGUGUUGGGCCCCGUCCUCCGAACCCGGGGGACGGGCCCGAAAGGCAGCGGCGGCACCGCGUCCGGUCCUCGAGCGUAUGGGGCUUUGUCACCCGCUCUGUAGGCCCGGCCGGCGCUUGCCGAUCAACCCAAAUUUUUAUCCAGGUUGACCUCGGAUCAGGUAGGGAUACCCGCUGAACUUAAGCAUAUCAAUAAGCGGAGGA